This 155-nucleotide ribosomal RNA is filed under the name uncultured bacterium. Its description in RNAcentral is "partial 16S ribosomal RNA". It matches the Rfam family "Bacterial small subunit ribosomal RNA", at positions 355 to 507 of the family's 1533-position model. The record is from RNAcentral.
UGAGGAAUAUUGGUCAAUGGGCGAGAGCCUGAACCAGCCAAGUAGCGUGCAGGAUGACGGCCCUAUGGGUUGUAAACUGCUUUUAUGCGGGGAUAAAGUGCGGCACGUGUGCCGUUUUGUAUGUACCGCAUGAAUAAGGACCGGCUAAUUCCGUG